UGGGGAAUAUUGGACAAUGGGGGCAACCCUGAUCCAGCAAUGCCGCGUGAGUGAAGAAGGCCUUAGGGUUGUAAAACUCUUUCACCCGUGAAGAUAAUGACUGUACCCGGUAAAGAAGUCCCGGCUAACUCCGUGCCAGCAGCCGCGGUAAUACGGAGGGGACUAGCGUUGUUCGGAAUUACUGGGCGUAAAGCGCGCGUAGGCGGGCUGGUCAGUCAGGGGUGAAAUCCCGGGGCUCAACCCCGGAACUGCCUUUGAUACUGCCAGCCUUGAGUUCUGGAGAGGUGAGUGGAAUUCCGAGUGUAGAGGUGAAAUUCGUAGAUAUUCGGAGGAACACCAGUGGCGAAGGCGGCUCACUGGCCAGAUACUGACGCUGAGGUGCGAAAGCGUGGGGAGCAAACAGGAUUAGAUACCCCCGUAGUCC
RNAcentral lists this ribosomal RNA (424 nucleotides) under uncultured prokaryote. RNAcentral's name for it is "bacterial SSU rRNA". It matches the Rfam family "Bacterial small subunit ribosomal RNA", at positions 355 to 796 of the family's 1533-position model. The record is from RNAcentral.